Molecule: long non-coding RNA, 688 nt
Organism: Hevea brasiliensis (rubber tree)
Lineage: Eukaryota; Viridiplantae; Streptophyta; Magnoliopsida; Malpighiales; Euphorbiaceae
Exons: 2
Source: RefSeq, a predicted model, not a curated record
UGGCAAUAUGUUGCAAAGAAAUUGAAGUAUUCCCAUACAAGCUUGUGUGAGCUUUGGAGUGUCAAAUGAGCAUUCUGCAACCCUUGCUUCUUCACUUUUAGACUUUGGAAAUUGAUGAUGGUUGGUUCUGUCUUUUCAAAAGAUGCCAGAGACGAGCAAUUGUGGAUUGGCCUCUCGUGUGCUACAUGAAAAUUAAAGGGCCAAUGCCUAUCCGGUGGACAACUGAUCAUCUAACUUAUCUGCAAUCAUCUGCUAAAGGUAUGGAGAUUUUUAGAGACCUUAUUCUCUUGUUUGCUUCUACAAAGUUGGGAAGUGUUGAAAAACUAAAACUUCUAAUGUGUGUCAUUGUGUCUAGGCCUGAAGUGAACAUCUGAUUCAAGCAAAUUUAAUAGUUAUAAUCAGGAAAGGUUCAAUGAUGCUCACUAGCAGAGACCUGCUCAAUUGAUUUAUAUAUAUGGACUUGCAAUUUAAUAUUGCACAAGAAAUUGCAGUUUUUUACUGCAAUUUAAUAUCACAGCCAGAUGUUUCAGAACUAGUUUGAAUUUCGUUCUAGCAACUUAAAAUUACGGAGAAAUCAACUAUGAUCUUUGAAGGCACAAGUAAGAACUAGCAAUGUGGGACAUGCUGAUGGAAUUUCCUCAUUCUUUAGAUUUUAAAUGAACAAUUAAUGGUCUUUUUUUCUCAAAAA